RNAcentral lists this ribosomal RNA (528 nucleotides) under uncultured archaeon. RNAcentral's name for it is "bacterial SSU rRNA". It matches the Rfam family "Archaeal small subunit ribosomal RNA", at positions 324 to 854 of the family's 1478-position model. The record is from RNAcentral.
UACGGCGCGCAGCAGGCGCGAAACCUCCGCAAUACACGCAAGUGUGACGGGGCCAUCCCAAGUGCCAUCCGAUAAGGGUGGCUUUUGCCCAGUGUAAGUAGCUGGGAGAAUAAGGGGAGGGCAAGGCUGGUGCCAGCCGCCGCGGUAAAACCAGCUCCUCGAGUAGUCGGGAGUAUUAUUGGGUCUAAAGCGUCCGUAGCCGGCCCUGUAAGUUCCUGGUCAAAUCCAGCGGCCUAACCGUUGGUUCGCUGGGGAUACUGCAGGGCUUGGGAACGAGAGAGGCCAAGGGUACUUAUGGGGUAGGGGUGAAAUCCUGUAAUCCCAUAGGGACCACCGGUGGCGAAGGCGCUUGGCUGGAACGUGUCCGACGGUGAGGGACGAAAGCCAGGGGAGCGAACCGGAUUAGAUACCCGGGUAGUCCUGGCUGUAAACGAUGCGGGCUAGGUGUUUGCGUGGCUACGGGCUGCGCAAGUGCCGUAGAGAAGUCGUUAAGCCCGCCACCUGGGGAGUACGGCCGCAAGGCUGAAA